GUGAGGAAUAUUGCGCAAUGGAGGCAACUCUGACGCAGCCAUGCCGCGUGCAGGAAGAAGGCGCUACGCGUUGUAAACUGCUUUUAACCGGGAAGAAACCCCAGGACGUGUCCUGGGUUGACGGUACCGGAGGAAUAAGCACCGGCUAACUUCGUGCCAGCAGCCGCGGUAAUACGAAGGGUGCAAGCGUUAUCCGGAUUCAUUGGGUUUAAAGGGUGCGUAGGCGGAGCGUUAAGUCAGUGGUGAAAUCCUGCAGCUUAACUGUAGACUUGCCAUUGAUACUGGCGCUCUUGAGUGCGCUUGAAGUGGGCGGAAUGUGCCGUGUAGCGGUGAAAUGCUGAGAUAUGGCACAGAACACCAAUUGCGAAGGCAGCUCACUAAGGCGAUACUGACGCUGAGGCACGAAAGCGUGGGGAUCGAACAGGAUUAGAAACCCUAGUAGUCC
Molecule: ribosomal RNA, 445 nt
Filed under: uncultured bacterium
Lineage: Bacteria
Description: partial 16S ribosomal RNA
Rfam family: Bacterial small subunit ribosomal RNA
Source: RNAcentral